CGGCACGGGUGAGUAACGCGUGGAUAAUCUACCCUUAAGAUGGGGAUAACGGCUGGAAACGGUCGCUAAUACCGAAUACGCUCCCGAUUUUAUCGUUGGGGGGAAAGGAUGGCCUCUGCUUGCAAGCUAUCGCUUAAGGAUGAGUCCGCGUCCCAUUAGCUAGUUGGCGGGGUAACGGCCCACCAAGGCAACGAUGGGUAGCCGGUCUGAGAGGAUGACCGGCCACACUGGAACUGGAACACGGUCCAG
This 249-nucleotide ribosomal RNA is filed under the name uncultured bacterium. RNAcentral's name for it is "partial 16S ribosomal RNA". It matches the Rfam family "Bacterial small subunit ribosomal RNA", at positions 100 to 334 of the family's 1533-position model. The record is from RNAcentral.